Molecule: non-coding RNA, 104 nt
Organism: Acanthosepion pharaonis
Lineage: Eukaryota; Metazoa; Mollusca; Cephalopoda; Sepiida; Sepiidae
Source: the annotation of a GenBank genome assembly
AUCACGUUAAAACACCGAUUCCUGUACCACCACUGAAGUUAAGUGAAGUCGAUCCUGGUUAGUACUUAGAUGGGUGACCGCUUGAGAAUACCAGGUGCUGCAAG